AUUGAACGCUGGCGGCAGGCCUAACACAUGCAAGUCGAACGGUAACAGGAAGAAGCCUGCUUCUUUGCUGACGAGUGGCGGACGGGUGAGUAAUGUCUGGGAAACUGCCUGAUGGAGGGGGAUAACUACUGGAAACGGUAGCUAAUACCGCAUAACGUCGCAAGACCAAAGAGGGGGACCUUCGGGCCUCUUGCCAUCGGAUGUGCCCAGAUGGGAUUAGCUAGUAGGUGGGGUAACGGCUCACCUAGGCGACGAUCCCUAGCUGGUCUGAGAGGAUGUCCAGCCACACUGGAACUGAGACACGGUCCAGACUCCUACGGGAGGCAGCAGUGGGGAAUAUUGCACAAUGGGCGCAAGCCUGAUGCAGCCAUGCCGCGUGUAUGAAGAAGGCCUUCGGGUUGUAAAGUACUUUCAGCGGGGAGGAAGGGAGUAAAGUUAAUACCUUUGCUCAUUGACGUUACCCGCAGAAGAAGCACCGGCUAACUCCGUG
Molecule: ribosomal RNA, 490 nt
Filed under: uncultured bacterium
Lineage: Bacteria
Description: partial 16S ribosomal RNA
Rfam family: Bacterial small subunit ribosomal RNA
Source: RNAcentral